UAAGACGGAGGAUGCAAGUGUUAUCCGGAAUUACUGGGCGUAAAGCGUCUGCAGGUGGUUUCUUAAGUCCACUGUUAAACCUUGAGGCUCAACCUCAAAUCAGCAUUGGAAACUAGGAGACUUGAGUAUAGUAGGGGUAGAGGGAAUUUCCAGUGGAGCGGUGAAAUGCGUAGAUAUUGGAAAGAACACCGAUGGCGAAGGCACUCUACUGGGCUAUUACUGACACUCAGAGACGAAAGCUAGGGGAGCAAAUGGG
This 256-nucleotide ribosomal RNA is filed under the name uncultured archaeon. RNAcentral describes it as "partial 16S ribosomal RNA". It matches the Rfam family "Bacterial small subunit ribosomal RNA", at positions 521 to 776 of the family's 1533-position model. The record is from RNAcentral.